GUGGUUGUGGCUCACUGGUAGAGCACUUGCCUAGCAUGCAUGAGGCACUGGGUUCAAUUCUCAGCACCACA
RNAcentral lists this transfer RNA (71 nucleotides) under Urocitellus parryii (Arctic ground squirrel). RNAcentral describes it as "Spermophilus parryii (Arctic ground squirrel) tRNA". It matches the Rfam family "tRNA". Rfam says of the family: Transfer RNA (tRNA) molecules are approximately 80 nucleotides in length. Their secondary structure includes four short double-helical elements and three loops (D, anti-codon, and T loops). Further hydrogen bonds mediate the characteristic L-shaped molecular structure. tRNAs have two regions of fundamental functional importance: the anti-codon, which is responsible for specific mRNA codon recognition, and the 3' end, to which the tRNAs corresponding amino acid is attached (by aminoacyl-tRNA synthetases). tRNAs cope with the degeneracy of the genetic code in two manners: having more than one tRNA (with a specific anti-codon) for a particular amino acid; and 'wobble' base-pairing, i.e. permitting non-standard base-pairing at the 3rd anti-codon position. Lineage: Eukaryota; Metazoa; Chordata; Mammalia; Rodentia; Sciuridae. RNAcentral also lists the same sequence under 1 other name. The record is from Rfam by way of RNAcentral.